GACGAACGCUGGCGGCGUGCUUAACACAUGCAAGUCGAACGGAAAGGCCCUGCUUUUGUGGGGUGCUCGAGUGGCGAACGGGUGAGUAACACGUGAGUAACCUGCCCUUGACUUUGGGAUAACUUCAGGAAACUGGGGCUAAUACCGGGUAGGAGCUCCUGCUGCAUGGUGGGGGUUGGAAAGUUUCGGCGGUUGGGGAUGGACUCGCGGCUUAUCAGCUUGUUGGUGGGGUAGUGGCUUACCAAGGCUUUGACGGGUAGCCGGCCUGAGAGGGUGACCGGCCACAUUGGGACUGAGAUAUGGCCCAGACUCCUACGGGAGGCAGCAGUGGGGAAUAUUGCACAAUGGGCGGAAGCCUGAUGCAGCAACGCCGCGUGCGGGAUGGCGGCCUUCGGGUUGUAAACCGCUUUCGCCUGUGACGAAGCGUGAGUGACGGUAAUGGGUAAAGAAGCACCGGCUAACUACGUG
This 468-nucleotide ribosomal RNA is filed under the name uncultured bacterium. RNAcentral's name for it is "partial 16S ribosomal RNA". It matches the Rfam family "Bacterial small subunit ribosomal RNA", at positions 28 to 507 of the family's 1533-position model. The record is from RNAcentral.